RNAcentral lists this small RNA (80 nucleotides) under Flavobacterium pectinovorum. Its description in RNAcentral is "Flavo-1 RNA". It matches the Rfam family "Flavo-1 RNA". The record is from RNAcentral. Lineage: Bacteria; Pseudomonadati; Bacteroidota; Flavobacteriia; Flavobacteriales; Flavobacteriaceae.
UUCUAGCCCUGAUUGCAAUGGAAAUCCUUUUUGUUUUUUCUUUAAAAACAAAAAGAUUGAAAUGGAAAGCAGGAAACAGC